CCCUUAGAUGUUCUGGGCCGCACGCGCGCUACACUGAUUCAUGCAACAAGUUUUGUCCUUGGCUGAUAGGCCUGGGUAAUCUUUGAACGUGAAUCGUGAUGGGGAUAGAUGAUUGCAAUUAUUCAUCUUCAACGAGGAAUUCCUAGUAAACGCAAGUCAUCAGCUUGCAUUGAUUACGUCCCUGCCCUUUGUACACACCGCCCGUCGCACCUACCGAUUGAAUGGUCCGGUGAAGCCUCCGGAUUGGCGCGCACCUCGGUGCCGCCGAGAAGUUGGCUAAACCUUACCAUUUAGAGGAAGGUGAANUCGUANCA
This 314-nucleotide ribosomal RNA is filed under the name uncultured eukaryote. RNAcentral describes it as "partial 18S ribosomal RNA". It matches the Rfam family "Eukaryotic small subunit ribosomal RNA", at positions 1470 to 1796 of the family's 1831-position model. The record is from RNAcentral.